Molecule: ribosomal RNA, 1462 nt
Filed under: metagenome
Description: bacterial SSU rRNA
Rfam family: Archaeal small subunit ribosomal RNA
Source: RNAcentral
UCCGAUUGAUCCCGUCGGACCCCACUGCUAUCGAGAUGGGACUAAGGUAUGCUAGUCGAACGACCAGAACUAUGUCUGGAAGUGGCACACUGCUCAGUAACACGUAGCUAACCUACCCUUAGGACGUGGAUACCCCCGAGAAAUUGGGGUUAAUCCGCGAUAGAUGUAAUGUCCUGGAAUGGUAUUACGUCUAAAGGUAUUUCAUACAUGUUUGAAAUAUGCCUAAGGACGGGGCUGCGGCCGAUCAGGCUGUUGGUGAGGUAAUGGCUCACCAAACCUUUGACCGGUACGGGCCAUGAGAGUGGUACCCGGAGACGGACUCUGAGACAAGGGUCCAGGCCCUAAGGGGCGCAGCAACCGCGAAACCUCCACAAUGCACUCACGUGCGAUGGGGCUAUCUCGAGUGCCACCUGAUGAAGGUGGCUUUUCCUUGGUCUUCAAAGCCUUGGGAAUAAGAGGGGGGCAAGACUGGUGUCAGCCGCCGCGGUAACACCAGCCCCUCGAGUGGUGGGGAUGAUUAUUUGGCCUAAAGCGUCCGUAGCCGGCCGAGCAAGUCUUCCGUUAAAUCCAGCAUCUCAAGCGUUGGACCGCGGGAGAUACUACACGGCUAGAGAGUGGGUGAGGUCAGCGGUAUUCUGGGGGUAGGGGCGAAAUCCUUUGAUCCCCGGAGGACCACCAGUGGCGAAGGCUGCUGACUAGAACACGUCUGACGGUCAGGGACGAAAGCUGGGGUAGCGAACCGGAUUAGAUACCCGGGUAGUCCCAGCCGUAAACGAUGCAUGCUAGGUGUUGGGUUGGCCACGAGCCACCCCAGUGCCGCAGGGAAGCCGUUAAGCAUGCCGCCUGGGAAGUACGAUCGCAAGAUUGAAACUUAAAGGAAUUGGCGGGGGAGCACCACCAGGCGUGAAGCCUGCGGUUUAAUUGGAGUCAACGCCGGGAACCUUACCGGGAGCGACAGCAGAAUGAAGGCCAGAUUGAAGAUCUUGCCAGACGAGCUGAGAGGAGGUGCAUGGCCGUCGCCGGUUCGUGCCGUGAGGUGUUCUCUUAAGUGAGAUAACGAACGAGACCCGUGCCACAUGUUGCCACCAGUAUCUAAAGGAUAGCUGAGCACUCUUGUGGGACCGCAGCCGAUAAGGCUGAGGAAGGUACGGGCAACGGCAGGUCAGUAUGCCCCGAAUCUCCCGGGCCACACGCGGGCUGCAAUGGUACAGACAGAGGGCUGCCACCCCGAAAGGGGGAGCCAAUCCCUAAACUGUACCUCAGUUGGGAUCGAGGGUUGCAACCCACCCUCGUGAACAUGGAAUGCCUAGUAACCGCCAGUCAUCAUCUGGCGGUGAAUACGUCCCUGCUCCUUGCACACACUGCCCGUCGAACCACCCGAAUGAGGUUUGGGUGAGGAAUGGUCGAAUGUUGGCCGUUUCGAACCUGGGCCUCGUAAGGAGGGUUAAGUCGUAACAAGGUG